Molecule: transfer RNA, 74 nt
Filed under: Myxococcota bacterium
Lineage: Bacteria; Pseudomonadati; Myxococcota
Description: tRNA-Arg
Rfam family: tRNA
About the family: Transfer RNA (tRNA) molecules are approximately 80 nucleotides in length.
Source: RNAcentral
GGGCGUAUGGCUCAGUUGGAUAGAGCGUCGGCCUCCGGAGCCGAAAGCCACAGGUUCGAAUCCUGUUACGCCCA